Molecule: transfer RNA, 74 nt
Filed under: Gemmatimonadota bacterium
Lineage: Bacteria; Pseudomonadati; Gemmatimonadota
Description: Gemmatimonadetes bacterium (groundwater metagenome) tRNA-Pro
Rfam family: tRNA
About the family: Transfer RNA (tRNA) molecules are approximately 80 nucleotides in length. Their secondary structure includes four short double-helical elements and three loops (D, anti-codon, and T loops).
Source: RNAcentral
CGGGACGUAGCGCAGCCCGGUAGCGCACCUGAAUGGGGUUCAGGGGGUCGCGGGUUCAAAUCCCGCCGUCCGGA